CGCCAAUAGGUGCUACAUAGCACAGUCCAGUUAUGUUACUGAUGAAGGGGCCGAGGCGCUGGAUCAACUUGCCAUCCUGGGACCAGAUGCCAACCGUCUGGUCAAAGGAGCCUGAAAGCACCCUGCAAAUGAAUUCCCAGUCCAACCAUGACAACACAAUUCAGAGGAAAAGACACCUCUUUCUGCCUGCACCUUCACAACAACAGGGGCAAAGUUCCUAUUAGAAGCAUGUACAUACGUAGAAGGAUGAAAAAAAAAAAGGCCAUAUGCAAAACACCUUCAUCUAGCUUAUACCUUGUGGUUUCUUGCUGGCGCACCAGAAUCAAAUGGGUGAUGGCUGCAUUAUGGGCACGUGAGAUGCACUGCUUCUUUGUCAGGCCUUUUCUGCCUGAGGUCUGUCCUAGGGUCUCAUGAGAUGCCACUCUUACCAGAAUACGGUCAAGCACUGUACCACCUGGAGCCCAAACCAGCACAGAGCUGUCAUUGGAGGCAGAGAAGAGGAGCCGUGCCUGUAUCCAGGAAAGGAAGUGGG
This is a long non-coding RNA of Crotalus tigris (Tiger rattlesnake), 532 nucleotides long. RefSeq lists it as uncharacterized. The record is from RefSeq and is a predicted model, not a curated record. NCBI's taxonomy places the organism in Eukaryota, Metazoa, Chordata, Lepidosauria, Squamata, Viperidae. The transcript has 3 exons.